GACUUGGGUCAGAUGUUUGAACUCUUUGUUGAAUUGAGCCUCCGUCUACGUGUCAAUCUCAUUGGGUAAUUAGAGCUUCCAUUUUUAGCAGAAUAAUAUCUGCCAAUUAAGUACUACCUUUUUUUUUUCCAAAAAUUUUAUGUAGUUUCUUUUCUCUUUUAUUUUUGUUAUCUGAUCUUUAGCUAAAGUUUAUCUCUUUCUUUUUUUUCGGAUUUCUAUUUCUGUUUUGACUUUUUCUAGUUCUAAUUUUCUGGACUCCAACGACUGGAAAUACAGCUUGUGCAGUAACUGAGAUGUUGUUCUAUCUGUGGAUCACUUUUUUCUUGAAUAAGGAUGAACUUAGAAAUUAUAUGAAUAUGAAAGAAAAAUACUUAAAAUUUGGAGCCAAGCAGAGCUAGGAUUUGAGACUUAUGUGUUCUGGAUUCUAAAUCUUUUAAGUUAUUAUGUUCUAAAUUAAUAAACAUAUUCAAUAAAUUUCUUAAGAUAAAUAUAUGGUUCACACCAAAGCUACUAGGUUCGGCCAAACCCGUAAGUUUUGCUUUCCCUCCGGCUUUGGAUCCAAGACAUUUAAUUGAGUACUAAUAAGGAAUCUAAGUAAAGCAACAUCUUCAAUUGUGAAUUUGUUGAGAUGUGACAACAUUGAAGAAAGUUUGAGGUAAUGUUUUGUUUUAAUCUACUGUGCAUGCUAUGGUCAAACAUGUCUCUGGAACAUAUUUUCAUGGGUAUUCAAUGUCUCAAUCAGUAUUGAUGCUCUUUGCAGAGAAUCUGGAAUAUAAGCACGGGUCUUCCUGAUAUCUUUUUGAGGAAGAUACUCAGUAAAAUGUUAUGUUCAUCAAAAUUU
This 841-nucleotide long non-coding RNA is filed under the name Nicotiana benthamiana. RNAcentral describes it as "long non-coding RNA (NBEN_LNC002531)". The record is from RNAcentral. Lineage: Eukaryota; Viridiplantae; Streptophyta; Magnoliopsida; Solanales; Solanaceae.